RNAcentral lists this ribosomal RNA (804 nucleotides) under uncultured bacterium. RNAcentral describes it as "bacterial SSU rRNA". It matches the Rfam family "Bacterial small subunit ribosomal RNA", at positions 539 to 1350 of the family's 1533-position model. The record is from RNAcentral.
CGUUAUCCGGAAUCAUUGGGCGUAAAGCGUACCGAUAGGUGGUUUACAAGUCAGAAGUGAAAUCUCUCAGCUUAACUGGGAGACUGUCUUUUGAAACUGUAAAACUUGAGGGGCAAAGAGGAAGCUGGAACAAACGGUGUAGUAGUGAAAUGCGUUGAUAUCGUUUGGAACACCAAUAGCGUAGGCAGGCUUCUGGGUGCCACCUGACACUGCUAGGACGAAAGCGUGGGGAGCGAUAAGGAUUAGAUACCCUUGUAGUCCACGCUGUAAACGAUGCACAUUAGGUGCUAGACAGUAUCGACCCUGUUUAGUACCAUAGCUAACGCGUUAAAUGUGCCGCCUGGGGAGUACGGCCGCAAGGCUAAAACUCAAAGGAAUUGACGGGGACCUGCACAAGCGGUGGAGCAUGUGGUUUAAUUCGACGGUAAGCGAGGAACCUUACCAAGUUUUGACAUGGACCUGCAUACAUUGGAAACAGUGUAGCCUUCGAGGGUGGUUCACAGGUGCUGCACGGUUGUCGUCAGCUCGUGCCGUGAGGUGUUCACUUAAGUGUGAAAACGAGCGCAACCCCUACGGUGAGUUACAAGUGUCUCACAGAACUGCCAGCGUUUAAGCUGGAGGAAGGUGGGGAUGACGUCAAAUCAGCGUGGCUCUUACAACUUGGGCGACACACGUGCUACAAUGGACAGUUACAAAGGGACGCCAAGGCGUAAGCCGGAGCAAAUCCCAUCAAAACUGUCCCCAGUUCGGAUUGAGGGCUGCAACUCGCCCUCAUGAAGCCGGAAUCGCUAGUAACCGUAUAUC